RNAcentral lists this long non-coding RNA (3962 nucleotides) under Brassica napus (rape). RNAcentral describes it as "long non-coding RNA (BNAP_LNC004051)". Lineage: Eukaryota; Viridiplantae; Streptophyta; Magnoliopsida; Brassicales; Brassicaceae. The record is from RNAcentral.
AAGUUUAACAUUCAAAUUAGAAAUAUCAUUUGUAAUUGUAUUAGAAAAACAUAUGACUAAUUAAAAAUGUUAUACUAUAUGGUAGUGUAUAGCCGGCUAAAAACAUUAUGUGUCUUUUUAAAAGAUAGUAUUAGCUUUAACAAAACAAAACAAAACACAAAAUACUUGAAAAUGUUAUUUACCGGAUAAAACAAGAAAAUGACAGCUAAAAGUAGUAUUAGCUCGCAAAAACACAAGUUAGACAUCUAACAAUGACUUAGUUUUAACUUAUGCUGUGUAUGAGACUUGCCAUUAAUUUUGAAUAAAAUUUUGCAUUAUUAGCAUAUUCAAGAUUAAUAGCAAGUAGAUAAAUAAGUUGUUAUCUGUUAUUAAAUAAGUUAACCAUUCAACAACAAAUCUCAAAAAUCUAAAUUCAAUGAUACAUGUAGAAAUAUUAUCAAAUUGUUACAGUGUUGUUAGAUAUGUUAAUAGGUUAAGGUACAUUCUUAUAACAACUUCUUACAUCCUCGUCAUAUUCCCUCACAACAACCACAACGUAUUCUAGAUAUACACCAUUGUUUUCCACAACCUCGGUUUUUGCUUUACAGUUGCUAGGUUUCAAAAUUGCCGUUUCACACAUCAAUAUUACAUUCUCCAUCUUAACGUCUUUCACAGGAAUUAUGUUCUCGAGGGACACUGAAGAAAAGAAUAAAAUGUUCUCGAGAUACAUGUUAACAUCAGUGCCGUGCAAAAGUUUUCGGAGUCCGGACGAGUUAAAAUUUUUUUACAUGAUCUUUUUUUUCUGAAAAUAGUUCUAUUUAAAUUCAAAUUAUAUAAUAUUUUUUUUGAAAAAACAUAUAAAUAUAACUAAAAAGUUUUGAUUUAUUACCUAAAUAUUUUCUAAAUUUUCUGCACCAGACUUUUAUAAACUAAAAUAAAAUAAUGAUCAAAAAUAGGAAUUAGAAAUAUAAAAACAAAAAUAAAAAUUGUGGAUUGAAAUGGUGGUCGUUGUUAAAGGGCUAAAUCUUAGCGUUUAAAUUAAAUACAAUAAACUAUAUAUUCAAAAUAUUAUAAUUUGUUAAUCAAAUUUUAUAAAUAUCUAAAAUAAAUCUAACUCAUAACGUAUACCAAGAUGAAAAAUGUGGAUCAAAUAUUUACAGUUAAUUAGAAAUAGAAUCUUUAUAGUUUUACAUAAAAUAUAGUAAAAUUGAUCAUAAAUUAGUUUUUUAAGGGAUAAUUUGCUUAAAACCAAAGAAAACUUAUGAUAUUAGCUACGUACCAAGAACAGUAAAACUUGUAGUUUUGUUGGCAUAAUGGAUGAUAUGUAAUGACGAAAUUAGCCUCAGAUGUUUCGGAUAGAACUUGUGUCCUAUAGGGAAGUACAAUUAAUAGGUUAGCUGAGAAUAUUUUAUUAGAUUUGCCGAUAUUUGGCAAAGAUUUAGUAUAGAUUUGGUUAUAUUAAACAAAAAUACUUGUUUUCUCUCUCAUUAUCGUUGUUUUUUUCUUCAUCUUCUUCUUCUGUUUUUUUUUACAUUUGUCUGAUGAAUCUAAACAAAAUUAAAAAGAUCGUGAAUUCUGAACAAUUUCAUGAGUUCACAAGUUUCUCUGCUUAUUUCUUUAGGAGUUCAUGAGUUGCAAACAACCAAAGAAGAUCAUGAAUUUCCUUCUUCUUUUUCCAUUUUCUUCCUCUACAUAAACACUUGAGCGCAUCCAACCAUUCAUCAUCAUUAUCAAAGUCCCGAACAAGAUUAUGAGUUCUCUCUACCAGAGUUCAUUCUCUAUCAUACAAAAAAUUCCUCGGGUCAUUUUUCCAACAAUCAAGACGAUACCGUCUCAGAAUUAGCUUGCUGUCUGGUCGUGUAUAUGGUUGUUAUUCGUUUAGCCAGCUAAUCAAAUAUGGACCUGGUCUACUUCACCAUCCUCCACUUGAUAAAAACUCAGUGACACGAUGUGAACUAACACAAACAAAGAUUAUAGUUAGUUGUUUUAUAUUCUUUUCAGUGACAUAAUGAACUGAUCUUGCAAAACAGGUUUGGAGAUGAGCUUGAGAAGUUCUAAAUAAUUUAUUUUGAAAAUGCUAAAUUAUUUGAGUACUAUAUAUUGAUGAUAGUUACAAUAAGUUAAAAACUUCUAAUAUGAUGUAUCAAAGAGCUAUGCUAUGAUAAUAUGAUAAUUAGACGAGUACAAUAUAUAAUGGAUGUAUAUAUUAAUUCUUAGCUUGUGUAUAGAGGAGUUUAGCUGGUUAUAAAUGAUUCAAAUAUAUUAUUCUUGAAAUGAUGGUUAUUUACAUUUUAGCUUAGCCAUACACAUUAAAAUAUUGAUUUGCUUAUCAGUGACACAAUGUGAACUAACACAAAGAUCAUAGUUAGUUUUCUUAUAUUGAGUUCAAUGACACGAAGUGAAUUAAUCUUGUAAAACAGGUUUAGAGAUGAGCUUGAGGAGGUCCAACUAGCUAAUUCGUAUUGAAAAUGUUAAAUUCGUAUAUUGAUGAUAGUUACGGUAAGUUAAAAAUUUCUAGUAUGAUAUCAAAUAGUUAUGCUAUGAUAAUAUGAUAAUUACAUGGCUACAAUAUAGCAUGGAUGUAUAUAUUAAAUCUUAGCUUGUGUAUAGAGGAGUUUAGCCGGUGUAGAUGAUUCAAAUAUAUUAUUCUUGAAAAUGAUGGUUAUUUUCAUUUUAGUUUAGCCAUACAUAUUUGAUUAAAAUGAAAGGUUUUAGCCUAUCUUUUUUAUUAGUUGAAGUAGUGGAUGGCUACAAUAUAUCAUGGACAUAUAAAUUAAAUCUUAGAUUGCGUAGACCAUAUUUAGCCGGUUACAAAGGAUUCAAAUAUAUCAUUCCUAAAAGUGGUGGCAGUUUGACUUAGCCAUACAUAUAAAGUGAUAGACAAUACUUUAUUUGCCAACACGGAUAACAACUUGAGAAUACAAACUCAGGGACAUUUAAAAAUCUACGUAUGAACAAUAUACAUAACAAGAGUCUAAUAGUAAAAUAGAGAAUGGUAGAUGACACAUAGAAUUACUAUUAAGAGUAAAAAAAUUAUUCGUUUUUUCAAACAUAAUAUUAGUUUCAACAAAAAGAAAUACAAAAUACUUAAAAAUGUUGUUAACCGGAUAAAAUAGGCAAACCCGAGCUAAACAUAAAUUUUAGCCCGCAAGAAGAAAGGUUAGACGUCUAAAUGACUCAGUAUCACCAAAACUUGUUUUAAGUUAGGCUAUGGAGAACUAAUUUUAUAUUUGCAUUGCUAACACAUUAUUUAUGUUAUAUGAAAUAUGAUAGUAGCAUAUCAAUAUAAAAGUAGGUAAAUGACUUAUUAUAAGAUAUGCUGCUUACAUGUUAGUUAAAUGAAGUUUAACAUUCAAAUUAGAAAUAUCAUUUGUAAUUGUAUUAGAAAAACAUAUGACUAAUUAAAAAUGUUAUACUAUAUGGUAGUGUAUAGCCGGCUAAAAACAUUAUGUGUCUUUUUAAAAGAUAGUAUUAGCUUUAACAAAACAAAACAAAACACAAAAUACUUGAAAAUGUUAUUUACCGGAUAAAACAAGAAAAUGACAGCUAAAAGUAGUAUUAGCUCGCAAAAACACAAGUUAGACAUCUAACAAUGACUUAGUUUUAACUUAUGCUGUGUAUGAGACUUGCCAUUAAUUUUGAAUAAAAUUUUGCAUUAUUAGCAUAUUCAAGAUUAAUAGCAAGUAGAUAAAUAAGUUGUUAUCUGUUAUUAAAUAAGUUAACCAUUCAACAACAAAUCUCAAAAAUCUAAAUUCAAUGAUACAUGUAGAAAUAUUAUCAAACUGUUAUAGUGUUGUUAGAUAUGUUAAUAGGUUAAGGUACAUUCUUAUAACAACUUCUUACAUCCUCGUCAUAUUCCCUCACAGCAACCACAACGUAUUCUAGAUAUACACCAUUGUUUUCCACAACCUCGGUUUUUGCUUUACAGUUGCUAGGUUUCAAAAUUGCCGUUUCACACAUCAAUAUUACAUUCUCCAUCUUAA